Molecule: transfer RNA, 68 nt
Filed under: Marmota monax (woodchuck)
Lineage: Eukaryota; Metazoa; Chordata; Mammalia; Rodentia; Sciuridae
Description: tRNA.Ala
Rfam family: tRNA (bases 6-64)
About the family: Transfer RNA (tRNA) molecules are approximately 80 nucleotides in length.
Source: RNAcentral
GGGUUGUGGCUCAGCGGUAGAGUGCUUGCCUAGCACGUGUGAGGCUCUGGGUUCAAUUCUCAGCUCCA